This 284-nucleotide long non-coding RNA is filed under the name Cairina moschata (Muscovy duck). RNAcentral's name for it is "domestica (muscovy Duck (domestic type)) lncRNA (ENSCMMG00000007101.1)". The record is from RNAcentral. Lineage: Eukaryota; Metazoa; Chordata; Aves; Anseriformes; Anatidae.
CCGGUUCCCUUAGGACUGCGACCCCUAAACUCUGAGAUUUGGGACCCUACAGCUGCAUUUCCAGAUGGGUGAAAGAACAGCAGGACGGUGCACAGGCUUGAGAAGGGACUGGUGGGCUGCAGGGCAGAAGGACCCUCAGGGGACACAAGGAGCCAGAGACUCUCUCCCAGGAAAGACAGACUGCGGGACAGAAGGGGUCUGCAAAGGUCCUGAGCGAUUUUAGAGCCAAAGGAGGCAUCUGAGCACCCCAGUGCCUUUGGGACAAGCCCAGGUAAGGGGUCUGA